This 630-nucleotide ribosomal RNA is filed under the name Triticum aestivum (bread wheat). RNAcentral's name for it is "partial small subunit ribosomal RNA". The record is from RNAcentral. Lineage: Eukaryota; Viridiplantae; Streptophyta; Magnoliopsida; Poales; Poaceae.
AUGGUGUCGCUGAAGCUGCAGAAGCGCCUGGCCUCGAGCGUCCUCAAGUGCGGCAAGGGCAAGGUCUGGCUCGACCCCAAUGAGGUCAACGAGAUCUCCAUGGCCAACUCCCGGCAGAACAUCCGGAAGCUGGUGAAGGAUGGUUUCAUCAUCAGGAAGCCUCAGAAGAUCCACUCCAGGUCUCGUGCAAGGAGGGCACAUGAGGCCAAGCAGAAGGGCCGUCACUCUGGAUAUGGUAAGCGUAGGGGUACCAGGGAGGCUAGGCUCCCCACCAAGAUCCUGUGGAUGCGGAGGAUGCGCGUCCUCAGGCGCCUUCUGCGCAAGUACCGUGAGGCCAAGAAGAUCGACAAGCACAUGUACCAUGACAUGUACCUGAAGGUCAAGGGUAACAUGUUCAAGAACAAGAGGGUCCUCAUGGAGAGUAUCCACAAGUCCAAGGCUGAGAAGGCAAGAGAGAAGACCCUCUCUGACCAGUUCGAGGCCAAGCGCGCCAAGAGCAAGGCAAGCAGGGAGAGGAAGAUUGCCAGGAGGGAGGAGAGAUUGGCUCAGGGCCCGAGAGAUCAUGCACCAGCACCAGCGGCUGCAGCUCCCGCUCAGGCAGCAGCGGCACCAAAGAAGGCCAAGAAGUGA